AUGCCUCCAAAGCUUAAAAUGCCUACAAAAUGUUUGCAUGCAAGAAUAUGGGCAAGUGAUAGCAAGGAUGAUCUUGAUGACACAAAGAGGGUGGCUUGCUUGCCAUCAUACCAUGUCUUGCAUGCCGAUGCCGCUCACGGGGCGGGCCUUGACGCUCUCAAGGGUGGCGCAAAACUUGUUGCACUUUUGUUGGAUCACCCUCCACCGCUUGGAAAUGGAGACCCACCCGCGCGUGCUCACAAAUUGGUAAGGUGGAAACUUCUUGCGCUCAUGGAACUCUCGGUGCACACGAGUCCAAAAGGUCGAAGGCUUUUGCUCGGCGCCCGUCUUCGGGUCUUGUCCAAUGUCUCGCCAACACUCGCAAAGAAGUUUGUCUUCGGCCGCCGUGUACGCCUUCGUACGCUUGCUCUUGCGCUUGGGCUUAGGACCGGUAGCUUGGUUGGCGAGCUCGUCCUCGAACAAAGGCUCCACGUCGAUGUCGCACUCGUCCUCUUCCUCUAG
This 501-nucleotide ribosomal RNA is filed under the name Triticum aestivum (bread wheat). RNAcentral describes it as "partial small subunit ribosomal RNA". The record is from RNAcentral. Lineage: Eukaryota; Viridiplantae; Streptophyta; Magnoliopsida; Poales; Poaceae.